GCUGUACCUGGGCAGGAGGAUGUCGCCAUCCACUGCUCUGGAGCAAGUGGGGAUGGGAAGCUACUGCUUUCCUGAGGAACACAGCCAGGAAGUUCCUGCCUGAUGGCCUGUGACAGGGAAGGGGUGGAGCCUUCCAGCCCCAGUUUUGUUUGGUUUUUAAUUUUUUUUUUAACGUUUAUUCGUUUUUGAGAGACAGAGAGAGACAGAGCGGGAGUUGGCGGUGGGGGUGGGGGGCAGUGCAGAGAGAGGGAGACACAGAAUCCGAAGCAAGCUCCAGGCCGUGAGCUGUCAGCCCAGAGCCCCAUGCGGGGCUCGAACCCGCUGACCUCGAGAUCAUGACCUGGGCUGAAGUUGGACGCCCAACCAACUGAGCCAGCCAAGUGCCCCCUUCCAGCCCCAGUUUUAGGGUGAGACCUGGAGGGCGGCAGGGAAGAGGAUGGUGGCAAAGGAACGACGGGAGGACAAGCACCCACAAAGGGAGAGGGAAAGGUUCUGUGAGGCAGCAGAGUGAGGUGUAGUGGCCUCUGAUGUCACACGUAUGAGCAUUCAAAUCCCGAGCCUAGCACCUGCCAGUGGUGUGAUCUUCAGCAAGUGGACGAGUUUUCUACUAGGCCUCAGUGUCCACAUCUGUCAAAUGGGAACCCUAGAAAUAGUACCCACAUUAUAUGCAUGCGUGGGGUGGCGGUGGUGGUAUUAUGAGAAGAAACGUCAGAGCUGGCCAAAACAGUCCUUCACCUCAGUUUCGAUCCUGUCUUCCAUCCGUGCCGGGGAAGGCUUUGGCCGAGGGAUGGACGCGCACACGUGCAGCAUUUUCCUGCAGGGUCCACCCCACCCGUGGGGAGUUCGCACGAGCACGAAUGUUUGCUGCGCGCCUUUCUUUACGAGCACCCCCUCGGCUGCUCUUCACACAGGCCCGACGCGUGGCUGCGUUCUGCACGCCUGCUUUGCAGAUGAGGAGGCAGAGCUGGAAGGAGCACUUGCGGAGGCACGUCCGCGCCACGAGCCCCGCCUCACCUCACCCCUGCUCAGGGCAGAGGGCACCGGGAACAGCACCUCCUCCCCGCAGGCCGGGAGCUGUCUGUGCCUGGCUCUGACCUCCCACCAGACCGAGAGCCCCCCGGAGGGCAGGCACCGGGGCCCUUCCAGCCAAUCCGGCACAGGGCUCCGAGCAGACAAGGGUUCAUCGAGUAUGUGA
This 1195-nucleotide long non-coding RNA is filed under the name Felis catus (domestic cat). Its description in RNAcentral is "lncRNA (ENSFCAG00000049566.1)". Lineage: Eukaryota; Metazoa; Chordata; Mammalia; Carnivora; Felidae. The record is from RNAcentral.